GGGAGCAAUGCACCUUUCGCAUUUUCUCCCUCCAGAUGGAAGAACCAUAACAGAUCGAAAAGGCAGCGGGACAGGGGGGAAAGACUGAUGUGAAAGGAGAUUUCUAGAAGGACAAGAAGAUAAACGCACUCUUGGAAAAAACAACCAAUGGAAGAGGUGAAAAUAAGCUGUUCAAAAGUCCUUGCAAUGAUCCGUUUUGCAAACGUUUAUUCGUUGUGAAAAGGGACAUUCUGGAAACUAUGAAUCAAGGAUAGCAGUACAGUCACAUUUAACAGCUGCAUGGCUGUCCAAAGCGCAAACAUGAAAGGAUGACAUGGAAAUCAGAACAGCCGACUGAAAGACCACUGCUUUCUCACGCUCAUAUAGAUGGAGAGACAGUGCUUGUGAACGAUGUAUACUGGAAGAGAGAUGAACAUUAGGUAGCGUCGGUAAAUAUCCAAGGAAACUGGAAGGAAAGUGGACAGUAAAGAAUAGCUGGUGGGGAGCUGUCAAAAGGAUGGAUUUUAGCGUACUACGGAAUCUCAUCAGUAGAUACUGUGCUGGGGAGGAGUACUGGGUGGACAGCCGGACAGUAUACAUCGGUCACAAAGAACCCCCGCUGGGGGCUGAUGCCUACAUCCCUCAGCGUUAUCCCGACAACCGCAUUGUCUCUUCCAAGUACACCUUAUGGAACUUCAUCCCCAAGAACCUGUUUGAACAGUUCAGAAGAAUCGCCAACUUCUACUUCCUGCUCAUCUUCCUGGUCCAGCUCAUCAUAGACACGCCCACCAGCCCCGUCACCAGCGGACUGCCUCUAUUCUUUGUCAUCACCGUCACUGCCAUUAAACAGGGUUAUGAAGACUGGCUGAGACACAAGGCAGACUGCAGUAUAAAUGAGUGUCCUGUGGACGUGGUGAAGGAAGGGACGGUGGUGAGGACACAGAGUCACAAGCUACGGGUGGGGGACGUUGUCAUGGCGAGGGAAGACGAGACGUUCCCCUGUGACCUCAUCCUGCUCUCAUCCAGCCGCGAUGACGGAACUUGCUACGUCACCACCACCAGCCUGGAUGGCGAGUCCAGCCACAAAACCUACUAUGCUGUACCCGACACCAUGGUCUUUAAGACAGAGCAGGAGGUGGACUCUCUACAUGCGACUAUUGAAUGUGAACAACCACAGCCUGACCUCUACAAAUUUGUGGGGCGCAUCAAUAUUUAUAAGGAAAGUGAAGAUCCCAUAGCCAGACCCCUGGGAGCUGAGAACCUUCUCCUCAGAGGAGCCACCCUGAAGAACACAGAACACAUUUAUGCUGUAGCCAUCUACACGGGCAUGGACACCAAGAUGACGCUGAACUACCAGUCCAAAUCCCAGAAACGCUCCGCUGUAGAAAAGUCUAUGAAUGCAUUCCUCAUAGUGUAUCUGUGUAUCCUGAUCAGUAAAGCGGUCAUUAACACAGUUCUGAAGUACGCGUGGCAGAGGUCUGCUGACCACGACCAGCCCUGGUACAACCACAGGACCGAGAUCGACAGAGAACGCCACGUGGUGAUCAGGGCGUUCACAGACUUCCUGGCCUUCAUGGUGUUGUUUAACUACAUCAUUCCAGUCUCCAUGUACGUUACCGUGGAGAUGCAGAAGUUCCUGGGGUCUUACUUCAUAGUCUGGGACAAGGAUAUGUACGAUGAUGAGCUGGGGGAGGGGGCUCAGGUCAACACAUCAGACCUCAAUGAAGAGCUGGGACAGGUGGAGUAUGUGUUUACUGAUAAGACGGGCACGUUGACAGAGAACAACAUGGAGUUUAUAGAGUGCUGUGUGGACGGACUCGUGUAUAUCCCCCACGCCAUCUGUAAUGGACAGAUCCUCAGUGCUGCUUCCAGUAUAGACAUGAUCGACUCCUCACCUGGAGGAGACCACAGGGAGCAUGAGGAGCUGUUCUUUCGGGCUCUGUGUCUGUGCCACACGGUGCAGGUGAAGGAGGAGGAGACAGUGGACAGCAUCAAGAGAGGGAUCCACCAGGGAAAACCCACCUCUUUCUACAUAUCAUCUUCUCCUGAUGAGGUGGCAUUGGUGGAGGGCAUGAAGAGGUUGGGGUACACAUAUCUAAGACUCAAAGACCGUCAUAUGGAGAUUCUCAAUAAGGAGGAUGAGAUUGAGAGGUUUGAGCUGCUACACGUGCUGAACUUUGACUCUGUCAGGAGGAGAAUGAGCGUCAUUGUCAAGUCUAGUGCAGGGGAGUACCUGUUGUUCUGUAAGGGGGCUGACUCCUCCAUCUUCCCCAGAGUGGUGUCAGGGAAGGUGGGGCAGGUGCGGGCGCGGGUGGAGCAGAACGCUCUGGAGGGCUUGCGGACCCUGUGUGUGGCAUACAGAAGUCUCUCCCUAGCAGAGUACGAGGAGGCGUGUCAUCAGCUGAGCGACGCCAAGCUAGCCCUGCAGGACAGGGAGCAGCGACUGGCGCAGGCUUAUGACCUCAUCGAGAGGGACUUCACCCUGCUGGGGGCCACGGCUGUGGAGGACAGGCUCCAGGAGAAGGCAGCAGACACCAUUGAGUCUCUCCAUAAGGCUGGGAUGAAGGUGUGGGUCCUGACGGGGGACAAGAUGGAGACGGCGGCUGCUACAUGUUAUGCUAGCAAGCUGUUCCGCCGCUCCACCCAAAUAUUGGAGCUGACCAAGAAACGAACCGAGGAACAGAGUCUACAUGAUGUUCUGUUUGACCUGAGCAGAACCGUACUGAGACAGCGCUCCCUGUCGCGGCUGUCUGUAGACUGUCAGGACUACGGUCUGAUCAUCGAUGGGGCCACCCUGUCUGCGGUGCUGAAGCCCAGUCCAGAGAGUUCUGGCUCUGGGAACUACAGAGAGAUCUUCCUGGAGAUCUGUAGGAACUGCAGCGCCGUUCUCUGCUGCCGCAUGGCGCCCCUACAGAAAGCACAGAUUGUGAAGCUGAUCAAGGCGUCUAAGGAGCACCCCAUCACUCUGGCCAUCGGAGACGGAGCCAACGACGUCAGCAUGAUCCUCGAGGCACAUGUGGGCAUAGGCAUCAUGGGUAAGGAGGGUCGCCAGGCAGCGAGGAACAGCGACUAUGCCAUCCCAAAGUUCAAACACCUGAAGAAGAUGCUGCUAGUUCACGGCCACAUCUACUACAUCCGCAUCGCUGAGCUGGUGCAGUACUUCUUCUAUAAGAAUGUGUGCUUCAUCUUCCCUCAGUUCCUCUAUCAGUUCUUCUGUGGAUUCUCUCAGCAGCCCCUGUACGACACAGCCUACCUGACACUGUACAACAUCAGCUUCACCUCCCUGCCCAUCCUCCUCUACAGCCUCUUAGAGAAACACGUCAGCAUAGAGACACUGAAGAGCGACCCCACUCUGUACAGAGACGUAGCUAAGAACUCUCUCCUGCGCUGGCCCGUGUUCCUGUACUGGACAUGCCUGGGCUUAUUCGACGCCUGUAUCUUCUUUUUUGGUGCCUACUUCCUGUUCGACAACACCACCUUCACUAGCAACGGACAGCUUAUGACCACCAACACACAGAUGAUGUUUGGGAACUGGACUUUCGGGACUCUCGUCUUUACUGUGCUGGUGUUCACGGUCACGCUCAAGCUUGCCUUGGACACACACCACUGGACCUGGAUCAACCACUUUGUCAUCUGGGGCUCCCUGCUUUUCUAUGUCAUCUUCUCUCUGCUCUGGGGAGGCAUCAUCUGGCCUUUCCUGAACUACCAGAGGAUGUACUAUGUGUUCAUGCAGAUGUUGUCCAGCGGUCCGGCUUGGCUAGGCAUCAUCCUGCUGAUUAUGGUCAGCCUGCUGCCUGAUGUGGUCAAGAAGGUCCUCUGCAGAACACUGUGGCCCACCGCCACCCAUCUUGCACAGUCCAAUCGCCCGUGCCUUACCGUGGAGCCGUCCACCAUCUUCGUGCUUUCUCAGUCCGAUAGCAGAUUGAGUUUCUGAUUGGCCGAGAGACGUCAGAGGAGGAGUGUUCCCAUCCAGGGCUCUCACCAUCCAGGGCUCUCACCAUCCAGGGCUCUCACCAUCCAGGACUCUCACCAUCCAGGGCUCUCACCAUCCAGGGCUCUCACAGGGCUCUCACAGGGCUCUCACCAUCCAGGGUUCUCACCAUCCAGGGCUCUCACCAUCCAGGGCUCUCACCAUCCAGGGCUCUCACAGGGCUCUCACAGGGCUCUCACCAUCCAGGGCUCUCACCAUCCAGGGCUCUCACCAUCCAGGGCUCUCACCAUCCAGGGCUCUCACAGGGCUCUCACCAUCCAGGGCUCUCACCAUCCAGGGCUCUCACCAUCCAGGGCUCUCACCAUUCAGGGCUCUCACCAUCCAGGGCUCUCACCAUCCAGGGCUCUCACCAUCCAGGGCUCUCACCAUCCAGGGCUCUCACAGGGCUCUCACCAUUCAGGGCUCUCACCAUCCAGGGCUCUCACCAUCCAGGGCUCUCACCAUCCAGGGCUCUCACCAUUCAGGGCUCUCACCAUUCAGGGCUCUCACCAUCCAGGGCUCUCACCAUCCAGGGCUCUCACCAUUCAGGGCUCUCACCAUCCAGGGCUCUCACCAUCCAGGGCUCUCACCAUUCAGGGCUCUCACCAUCCAGGGCAUCCAUUUCAAACAAUUCAACUCAAUUACCAGACAAUACUAUCAUUCACACUGCUAUAUACAGUGGGGAGAACAAGUAUUUGAUACACUGCCGAUUUUGCAGGUUUUCCUACUUACAAAGCAUGUAGAGGUCUGUAAUUUUUAUCAUAGGUACACUUCAACUGUGAGAGAUGGAAUCUAAAACAAAAAUACAGCGACAGCCCCGAAACCUGAAGGAUCUGGAGAAGGUCUGUAUGGAGGAGUGGGCCAAAAUCCCUGCUGCAGUGUGUGCAAACCUGGUCAAGAACUACAUGAAACGUGUGAUCUCUGUAAUUGCAAACACAGGUUUCUGUACCAAAUAUUAAGUUCAAACAAAGGUUUCUGUACCAAAUAUUAAGUUAUGCUUUUGUGAUGUAUCAAAUACUUAUGUAUAAUGUGAUUUUCUGGAUUUUUGUUUUAGAUUCCGUCUCUCACAGUUGAAGUCUACCUAUGAUAAAAAUUACAGACCUCUACAUGCUUCGACGUUGACAAGCUGUUGCAGGGCAGUGUAGCAGAGUUGACCCCCGUGCUCCCAUGCCCUUCUGGCCCUUCCUCCAAAUGGAAGUGUACU
RNA transcript from Oncorhynchus nerka (sockeye salmon), 5153 nucleotides. It is a transcript of the gene named phospholipid-transporting ATPase IH-like, with no coding region annotated. The record is from RefSeq and is a predicted model, not a curated record. The transcript is spliced from 32 exons. Lineage: Eukaryota; Metazoa; Chordata; Actinopteri; Salmoniformes; Salmonidae.